RNAcentral lists this unclassified non-coding RNA (380 nucleotides) under uncultured Gemmatimonadaceae bacterium. RNAcentral's name for it is "contains 16S-23S intergenic spacer region". The record is from RNAcentral. Lineage: Bacteria; Pseudomonadati; Gemmatimonadota; Gemmatimonadia; Gemmatimonadales; Gemmatimonadaceae.
UCCGGUUUGGCACCGGCAGUCCCCCCAGAGUCCUCGGCAUAACCCGUUAGCAACUGGGAGCGGGGGUUGCGCUCGUUGCGGGACUUAACCCAACAUCUCACGACACGAGCUGACGACAGCCAUGCAGCACCUGUGCAUGGACUCCGAAGAGGGGCCCUGGUUUCUCAGGGCUUUCCCAUGCAUGUCAAGCCUAGGUAAGGUUCUGCGCGUUGCGUCGAAUUAAACCACAUGCUCCACCGCUUGUGCGGGCCCCCGUCAAUUCCUUUGAGUUUCAGCCUUGCGGCCGUACUCCCCAGGCGGGGCACUUAAUGCGUUAGCGACGACACUCAGAGGGUCGCUCCCCCCGACGCCUAGUGCCCAUCGUUUACGGCGUGGACUAC